This 65-nucleotide transfer RNA is filed under the name Sphagniana ussuriana. Its description in RNAcentral is "Metrioptera ussuriana tRNA-His". It matches the Rfam family "tRNA". Rfam says of the family: Transfer RNA (tRNA) molecules are approximately 80 nucleotides in length. Their secondary structure includes four short double-helical elements and three loops (D, anti-codon, and T loops). The record is from RNAcentral. Lineage: Eukaryota; Metazoa; Arthropoda; Insecta; Orthoptera; Tettigoniidae.
GUUUAAAUAGUUUAGUAUAAAAUGUUGGUUUGUGAUACCAAAGAUGUGAGUAAUCACUUUAGACC